This 557-nucleotide ribosomal RNA is filed under the name Atachycines sp. IND. RNAcentral describes it as "partial 16S ribosomal RNA". It matches the Rfam family "Bacterial large subunit ribosomal RNA", at positions 1797 to 2619 of the family's 2925-position model. The record is from RNAcentral. Lineage: Eukaryota; Metazoa; Arthropoda; Insecta; Orthoptera; Rhaphidophoridae.
CGCCUGUUUAUCAAAAACAUGUUUUUUUGAUUUAUAAUUUAAAAUUUGACCUGCCCACUGAAUAUAAUUUAAAGGGCCGCGGUAUUUUGACCGUGCAAAGGUAGCAUAAUCAUUAGUCCUUUAAUUGUGGACUGGAAUGAAUGGUUUGACGAGGUAUUAACUGUCUCAUUAAAUAAUAAUUAGAACUUAACUUUUAAGUCAAAAGGCUUAAAUUUAUAUAUAGGACGAGAAGACCCUAUAGAGCUUGAUAAUUUAUUUUAUAUUAAAUAUUUUGUGUUAAUCUUUUUUAUUAUAGAAUUAAUUAUUUUAUUGGGGUGAUAUAAAGAAUUAAUUAACUCUUUAUUAAUUAAAACAUUGAUUUAUGAUUAUUUGAUCCAUUAUUAGUGAUUAUAAGAUUAAGUUACCUUAGGGAUAACAGCGUAAUGUUUUUUGAGAGUUCUUAUCAACAAAAAAGAUUGCGACCUCGAUGUUGGAUUAAGGUAAAUAUUAGGUGUAGAAGUUUAAUGUUUUUGGUCUGUUCGACCAUUAAAUCCUUACGUGAUCUGAGUUCAGACCGG